Long non-coding RNA from Ziziphus jujuba (common jujube), 557 nucleotides. RefSeq lists it as uncharacterized. Lineage: Eukaryota; Viridiplantae; Streptophyta; Magnoliopsida; Rosales; Rhamnaceae. The record is from RefSeq and is a predicted model, not a curated record. The transcript has 3 exons.
GAAGCACGAAGAAGAAGAGGAAGAGAAAGUGAGAGAGAAUGGCGAAGCGUUUUGGGACAAUCGGAGUUCUUCAGGAGGAGGAGCGAGUGGAGGAAGCAUCCAAGGCUCAGCAAUCAGCUCUGUCAUGCCCUUCUCGGUCUUAGCCUCAGAGUCGACGAGCUGGUCUACAACAAACUCCUCCUUCCUCUUCUUCUUAUGCUUCUUCUUCUUCUCACCACUCUUCCCAUUCCUCUACUUCUCACUGACUCACUGAGACAACUAAAACAAUAACCUCAUCAGGAUGAUGGAUCUGUUAUAUGUAUAUUUUCUCUUUCUGGAAGUAAUGUCCAAGAUGGACAUUUAGCUGCUGGUCGUAAUGGUGUAAAGCGCCUCAGAACUAUAAGUUCUCAUCUGUUUUACUCUUUGAUGUGGUUAAACAACCAAAUAUUUUAUCAUUCCUUUAUAGUAUGGAGACUAAAACUUUUUGUGGUAAUACGACAAAGGUUGCUAUGUAUAUUGUCAUAGAGCCUGUUGUUCCACUAUUAGAAAAGAUCAAGGAACUAAAUUUGGAAGGUACA